RNAcentral lists this ribosomal RNA (253 nucleotides) under uncultured bacterium. RNAcentral's name for it is "partial 16S ribosomal RNA". It matches the Rfam family "Bacterial small subunit ribosomal RNA", at positions 524 to 776 of the family's 1533-position model. The record is from RNAcentral.
UACGUAGGGUGCAAGCGUUAAUCGGAAUUACUGGGCGUAAAGCGUGCGCAGGCGGUGAUGUAAGACAGAUGUGAAAUGCCCGGGCUUAACCUGGGAACUGCAUUUGUGACUGCAUGGCUAGAGUUUGGCAGAGGGGGGUAGAAUUCCACGUGUAGCAGUGAAAUGCGUAGAUAUGUGGAGGAACACCGAUGGCGAAGGCAGCCCCCUGGGUCAAGACUGACGCCCAUGCACGAAAGCGUGGGGAGCAAACAGG